Molecule: unclassified non-coding RNA, 282 nt
Filed under: Melitaea cinxia (Glanville fritillary)
Lineage: Eukaryota; Metazoa; Arthropoda; Insecta; Lepidoptera; Nymphalidae
Description: misc RNA ENSMCXG00005003334.1
Source: RNAcentral
AACCACAAAAAACCAAUGGUGCAGUGGAAUGCACCAGCAAGCGAUGGCAGCUAUUGUUCUUGUAUUUCAUUACAAAUAAAAUCAUAAAAACAUAUCACAAAUAAAAAAAUUACGAAGCAAGCUUUUUAAAUUUGAUCCUUUUCAUUAUAACCUUUCUUUUUGGCCUUCACCGUUAAGAAAAAUGCGUUUUAAUUAAAAUUGGGAAAACUUCACAUUACACCCACACCAUUAUUUCUUACGGAUAUCCGAGUGUACGGGUUUUUAGGGCAUUUUUACGCAAAA